ACUCCUACGGGAGGCAGCAGUGGGGAAUAUUGCACAAUGGGCGCAAGCCUGAUGCAGCCAUGCCGCGUGUGUGAAGAAGGCCUUCGGGUUGUAAAGCACUUUCAGUCGUGAGGAAGGUAGUGUAGUUAAUAGCUGCAUUAUUUGACGUUAGCGACAGAAGAAGCACCGGCUAACUCCGUGCCAGCAGCCGCGGUAAUACGGAGGGUGCGAGCGUUAAUCGGAAUUACUGGGCGUAAAGCGCAUGCAGGUGGUUUGUUAAGUCAGAUGUGAAAGCCCGGGGCUCAACCUCGGAAUAGCAUUUGAAACUGGCAGACUAGAGUACUGUAGAGGGGGUAGAAUUUCAGGUGUAGCGGUGAAAUGCGUAGAGAUCUGAAGGAAUACCGGUGGCGAAGGCGGCCCCUGGACAGAUACUGACACUCAGAUGCGAAAGCGUGGGAGCAAACAGGAUUAGAUACCCCGUGGUAGACUGUCA
RNAcentral lists this ribosomal RNA (472 nucleotides) under uncultured bacterium. RNAcentral's name for it is "bacterial SSU rRNA". It matches the Rfam family "Bacterial small subunit ribosomal RNA", at positions 335 to 802 of the family's 1533-position model. The record is from RNAcentral.